UCCUGCACACUUGAACAAAUAUUAGCAUAUCUAAUUGACAAUUUUUAAUACCUUGUUAUUAUUAAAACUCAAAGGGUAAUGUUAAACACAUUUUGCUCCAACACAAAUACUCAAGCACACAAGCAAGAUAUUUCCUAUGCUCAAGCACAAACAAGAGACUUCUAAACAAACAAAUUAGAAAGAAUAAGUUUGGUUUGAAAACUUGAUAUACAAUCAGUGGUGUUCACAAUACGAAACAAAUUGACCUCGUAAGACUCUAGAAUUUCUCAGAUAUGAAAUUUUAUAAUAAAUUCUAAGUGUUUGAUGCACAACAAUAUGAGCAGAGUUUUGACACAGUUUAAAUGUUGUAGAGUCUCUACAAAUCUUCAAGUCUUCAUUCCUUUAUAUAGAGAUAUGAAAGAAACGUUGUAGAGUUGCCAGCACAUCAAAGAGUCGUUACUGAAGCUUGAUAAAUCACCAAUGAUCUGUUGCUUGAUUUGGUUAAUGUCCUAGGAAGGAAUAAUUUGAAUUAUAUUCCUUGUUUGGACAAGUAACCAACAGAGACAUAGCUAUAGCAGUACUAUGCACAAACAAUUGUGGAGUAGUGGUUGUACAAUUGUACUAUUGUCCUUUCUCCGAGCUCCUUCACUGGAUAAAUAUCCAAUGCCUUCAAAUUCCUCUGAAUUAGCCGUUGCUCCAGGCUUCUAUUCCAUCUGCAAACUUGUGUCUUCAAAUAAUAAAUAUAACUAAUUCCAGGUUCUUCACUUCAGAUUCUGACGAACUUCAGAUUCUGGGUGACUUCUGACUCUGGUAGUCAGCAUCUGAUGGCCUUCAGACUCUGAUUGUCUUCAAACUCAGACUUGCGACAUAGCUUCCCUUGAAAACUAUUUUGCUUUCAAUUGUUCUUCCAGAACCAAUACCUUGUUUAAAGACUUAUAAAUUUUAGUCUAUGGUCCUGCACAAUUAAAUAAAUAUUAGUAUGUCCAAUUGAAAUUUUAAUAUCUUGUUAUCAUCAAAACUUAAGGUGACAAUGUUAAACACAUUUUAUUCCAACACGGAACACUACAUUGUCAGCAAACCAUUAAGGAUGAAUUUAAAUAAAAGAUUAGUAAUUGCAUAAAUCCUAUACAACAAUCCAGAUGAAUAGUACUACAUACAAUCAUAGAUAUUUACAUAUGAUCCCAGCAUAAAAGAAAGUUUGGUUACACAUAAAAUGCUUAACUAAUAAAAUAACGUUGAUAGAUGUUGGAGAUUCAUCAAGAAGCUUGUAUCCAAGCUUCCUGCCCCUCCAAUGAUGUCUCAUGCUUUCUGCCCUCUGUUCUCUCUCUAUUUGGAUUAGUUUACAAGGAUGUAGUUUUAAGGAAAUGAGCUACACCUCAAUUUAUAGAAAAUUCAGGGAUGUAGUUUACAAGAUGGAGUUUUAUGGAAAAUUCAGUUCUCUUCGGUUAUUAUUUUUUUUUAACCUUUAGCAUUUCCUUCUAGAAAAUUUGGGCAAUAUGAUAUAGUACUAAUGUAUUUAGAAAUGUGUGCUAAACUAUAAAACAAUUGCUUGCACAAAUGGAAGAACAUGCAUUCAAUGCAGCAAUCAGAUAUGAAAAGGCAACCAUCAUUUUGACCUAACUGUAGAGGUAUUGGCCAUCUUAUUUAGCAAUGCAAAAUAAUUACAGAAAUCAAAAUUUAUGGAAAUCAAGUGAUGAAAAAAAAACAACAAAUUAUGGUUAAUCAAGAGGAUCACCUGGUCAACAAGAUUACUUUGGAUUACACUGUUUUGCUGAUUUAACUAUGUUACCAAAGAAGGAUCAAAUUAUUAGUAUCGAUUUGAUUUUGUCAGAUGCAGAGAUGGCUUAGGAAAAUAGUGUCAUUAGAAAUAAUGCUACAUUGUAUUGUGAAAAUGACACAAGCUUGACACUAAAUAACUCUUUUAAUAUUUUGGAUGAGGACCUUCCCCUCUUGAGUGGUGAGGCUAUUUUUAGAGAUAAUCAUGGCAUACAAUAUCAUAUAGUCAUGCCUUUUAUUAGUUGUCCAUCAUCUUUGACCUUGGACAAAAGGCCUUGCAACCUUCCUCCUAAAUCUAGCUUGUACACCUCCAAAAAGUUUGGUGAAAGGAGAGUAAAAGUUCUUAAGGAGUUAUGAGGAGACUUUGACUUUGUUUGCGAGUUUGGAGGGGAAGGGAGGGGAAGACUUGGAAAAAAAAAAAAAGAAUGAGCAAGUAGAAGAAAUAGAGGAAAAUGGGAGGGGAGGGUUUUGGGAGGUUUACUUUUCUUCAUAAUACAAAACCCUCCUCAUUUGAAAAAACAAAAAUAUUGUAUUGGAAGAGGGGUUUUGAAGGAUGUUGGAGGGUUUAUAUGAAUUUUUUAAAUUUAAUCUAUGUUGGUAUAAUAUUUUUAAAAUUAAAAAUAAAGUAAUCACAUGCAUUAAUUUAUCAUUUUCUAAAAAACUACUCUUUUAAAAAAAUUGAAAAAUUUCUCCAUUUUCCCUCAUACUUUCCACCCCAAAAAGCCUUCUCUUCUCCUUCCCUCCAAACUCACAAACAAUGCCUUAGAGGAUACCUUAGUAGUUCCAAACACCAAUUAAUACCUUAGUAGUUCUGCAGGAAACCUUAUUCUCUAUGAAGAAACAAAAGAAAAAUAAGAUUGGUGGACACCACAAGACAGCCAAACCCAACCAAACGGGAAAAUGAAAUAGUUAUUUUGAUUAAAUUUUGGAAUAAAAAUCUCUUUUAAUAUAAAGGAGAGAAAAUUAUAUUUUGUGGUGUCUAUGAGUUUUUAUACAGUAUGAAUGAAAGACUAUUUUAAUAUGCUUAGUUUUCAACCAUGGCUUAUAUAUAUACUUUAUUUAAAGUCUGUAAAAAUAAUCUUCAAAUUGUUUAUUUUAUAAAUUAAUUUUUAGAGAAUCUAAAAUAAAUGGCCCUUACUAUAGAUAGCCCCCGAAUCUCUUGCUCCACUUGACAAAUUGCAACAGCUAGAGAGAACCGUGAGUCGCUCGCUUUUAACCUCAUGUACUUUCCUCACUCAGCACAUGAAAAAUUCAACCUUUGUUUCAGCUCUUCAACAUUCAAACUUUGAACUUUUCAGUCCCAUAUUUCAUUCUCGUAAAAAUUCAAACACAACAUAGCCUACACAAGAAAACCUAGUAGCUAGAAGAGACAAGACAACCUCAAAUAUAUAAAUCUUGCGUAGCAACUUUGAAUUUCAUGGCUUUUAUUUUAUGGUUUUUCCAUGAAUCAAAUCUAGCUAGUUAAUUAUGUUGAUUUGAUUUGAAAAUCAUGUCAAACAUACCAACCUCACUAUCUGAUAUUUGCC
Molecule: long non-coding RNA, 3281 nt
Filed under: Medicago truncatula (barrel medic)
Lineage: Eukaryota; Viridiplantae; Streptophyta; Magnoliopsida; Fabales; Fabaceae
Description: long non-coding RNA (MTRU_LNC007065)
Source: RNAcentral